GACGUAGGGGCGAACGUUGCCCGGAAUCACUGGGCGUAAAGGGGCGUAGGCGGUCUCAAAGUCAGGUGUGAAAUGUCACUGCUCAACGGUGUCAGUGCGCAUGAAACUGUGAGACUUGAGGGGACCAGAGGUAGACGGAAUUACCUGAGUAGGGGUGAAAUCCGUAGAUACAGGUAAGAACGCCAGUGGGGAAGCCGGUCUACUGGGGUGACCCUGACGCUGAGGCCCGAAAGCUAGGGGAGCGAACCGG
This 250-nucleotide ribosomal RNA is filed under the name uncultured bacterium. Its description in RNAcentral is "partial 16S ribosomal RNA". It matches the Rfam family "Bacterial small subunit ribosomal RNA", at positions 524 to 776 of the family's 1533-position model. The record is from RNAcentral.